RNAcentral lists this transfer RNA (71 nucleotides) under Camelus bactrianus (Bactrian camel). It matches the Rfam family "tRNA". From Rfam's summary of the family: Transfer RNA (tRNA) molecules are approximately 80 nucleotides in length. Their secondary structure includes four short double-helical elements and three loops (D, anti-codon, and T loops). Further hydrogen bonds mediate the characteristic L-shaped molecular structure. tRNAs have two regions of fundamental functional importance: the anti-codon, which is responsible for specific mRNA codon recognition, and the 3' end, to which the tRNAs corresponding amino acid is attached (by aminoacyl-tRNA synthetases). tRNAs cope with the degeneracy of the genetic code in two manners: having more than one tRNA (with a specific anti-codon) for a particular amino acid; and 'wobble' base-pairing, i.e. permitting non-standard base-pairing at the 3rd anti-codon position. The record is from Rfam by way of RNAcentral. RNAcentral also lists the same sequence under 2 other names. Lineage: Eukaryota; Metazoa; Chordata; Mammalia; Artiodactyla; Camelidae.
GUGGGUAUAGCUCAGUGGUAGAGCGCAUGCUUAGCAUGCUAAGGUCCUGAGUUUAGUCCUCAGUACCUACA